This is a non-coding RNA of Apodospora peruviana, 105 nucleotides long. The record is from the annotation of a GenBank genome assembly. NCBI's taxonomy places the organism in Eukaryota, Fungi, Ascomycota, Sordariomycetes, Sordariales, Lasiosphaeriaceae.
GACAAGAUGGCCGAGUUGGUUUAAGGCGCCAGAUUUAAGAUUUUGGAAACAGACUUUCUUUCUCUGGUAUCGAGAGAUGCGUGGGUUCGAAUCCCGCUCUUGUCA